This is a long non-coding RNA of Lycium ferocissimum, 1175 nucleotides long. RefSeq lists it as uncharacterized. NCBI's taxonomy places the organism in Eukaryota, Viridiplantae, Streptophyta, Magnoliopsida, Solanales, Solanaceae. The transcript is spliced from 2 exons. The record is from RefSeq and is a predicted model, not a curated record.
UUCAUGAUGGUUGAGAGGCCAAAAAAUUGGUCUUUACACCUCAAAAGGGCUUUUGACAACCCCAAGAGCUUGAACGCUCAAAAAACUCGGCUAAGCCUUGAGUUUGGAGGAAGUUAUUGCUCAAAGUUAAAUUUAGGGUCUUUUCCAAUUCGUCGGAAUAGUUUAUUUGGGUGAGAGGUGAUCGACUCAAUUCUCGUCGCCCCCGUUGCUGCUCGGUAAAAAGAUACCCAGGGUCAAGAGACGGAGAAGUUCAAACUACUUUUGCAACAAAAAAAAGAUCAACUGAGCCAAGUCAUUGCUCCUCCAACUCUCCAAGCCAAGCUCGAAGCAGCUAAAAGAGAGAACCUCCGGUUGAAAACUGAGCUCGACGAAGCAGUCGAAAUAAGCAAAGUCUUGGAAGAGGACAACAAAAAUCUCAACCGAGGGAACGCCGAAUAUGCCACCAAACUUGGUGAGUUUGAAGCUACUAUCACCCAAUUGAGGGAGGGGCUUGAUUCGGUCAAAGGCAAGGCUGCAAAACGGAGGAGAAGUUCAAGCAGCUCGAAGUAGAGAGGGCCACAGCGAAAGACAGGUUAAAGGUUGUUGAAGAAAAGGCCGAGAAUCGAGCCCGAAUCUGUGACGAGCUCAAGAGUGAGCUCGAGGCCUCUCUCCGAGCCAAUGAUGCACUUCAAGCCGAGCUGGCAGCUUCUAACGAGGUUUGGGUCACUUUGAGUGAUAUGAAGUCCGAACUGGAGAAAAAAAUUAAAGAAAGCUUAGGCCCACCUGGAGGAAGCCCACAAAGAAAUUGAGGCUAUCGAGGAUCGUUCCACUAUUCUAGUUGAACACGAGAAGUGAAAGUCUCGAAGGUGUACACUUGAGGCGGUUCAUCAGGGUAUUGAAGACAUCCCUGCUUGUUUAACCGACGCAAAAAUGAUCGAGGAUAGGGCCAGGAAAGCACUCGAGGAUAGCUCCGAGGAAGACCCUGAAGGGUCCGGCUCUGAUGACUCGGGUUCUUCCUCGACAGAAUAAAUAGGGCUCGUAGGACCUUUGUUUUUGUUUUUGAUCCUUGUGAUUUUCACAAAUGUAAAGCUUCGGCCCUUUAUACUCUAUAUAAAAUUCGUAUGGGCUUUUUCCUUUUGCCAGUAUUUUUCUCAAUCUUUAAAUCGGGUAUAAUUUAUGAUAUUGUUUCGUAUUGA